This 157-nucleotide ribosomal RNA is filed under the name uncultured bacterium. RNAcentral's name for it is "partial 16S ribosomal RNA". The record is from RNAcentral.
GCACGGAAGUUAGCCGGUGCUUAUUCCUCUGGUACCGUCAACCCAAUUAGAAAAUUGGGGUUUCUUCCCAGGUAAAAGAAGUUUACACACCAUAGAUGCUUCAUCCUGCACGCGGCAUGGCUGGUUCAGUCUUUCGACCAUUGACCAAUAUUCCUCA